AAAAUACCUUCAUCUAUGUGAAUGAGAGAAUUUGUCCCCUCCAUAGAGAAACUGAGUAAAUAUACCUACACAACAUUCUCAGGUAACUUACAAUUGUGUACAUACACGUUGCUUUUUAACAACUAAAUAUGAGUAACUUUAAGAUCUAAAGAUCACCAGUGGCAGUUAUUUUUGAAAGUUUAGGGAUCCUCUGUAGCUAAACUCAAGUAAUGAAAGUCAUGAGGGAAAAAAUAGGAAGGAUUGCUUUGCAAAAAAGUAAAAAUAAAAAGGGUAAAUAGCUUUAUUUCAAUACAAUUAUCUUAGUGAAGAAACUUUUCUCUCUCUCCUUUUU
RNAcentral lists this long non-coding RNA (331 nucleotides) under Bos taurus (domestic cattle). RNAcentral describes it as "long non-coding RNA NONBTAT022497". Lineage: Eukaryota; Metazoa; Chordata; Mammalia; Artiodactyla; Bovidae. The record is from RNAcentral.